RNAcentral lists this transfer RNA (73 nucleotides) under Actinomycetota bacterium. RNAcentral's name for it is "tRNA-Thr". It matches the Rfam family "tRNA". Rfam says of the family: Transfer RNA (tRNA) molecules are approximately 80 nucleotides in length. Their secondary structure includes four short double-helical elements and three loops (D, anti-codon, and T loops). Lineage: Bacteria; Bacillati; Actinomycetota. The record is from RNAcentral. RNAcentral also lists the same sequence under 1 other name.
GCCGGAGUAGCUCAGCUGGUAGAGCAAGCGAUUUGUAAUCGCUAGGCCGUGGGUUCGAGUCCCUCCUCCGGCU